This 339-nucleotide ribosomal RNA is filed under the name Triticum aestivum (bread wheat). RNAcentral's name for it is "partial small subunit ribosomal RNA". Lineage: Eukaryota; Viridiplantae; Streptophyta; Magnoliopsida; Poales; Poaceae. The record is from RNAcentral.
AUGUCAAAUAUACUUUUCUCAAGAAAACUAGUUGCCAAACUUACUACUAUCAUUAGAAUUUUUUGGUGGACAGGAAUAAAAGAAGAUCAAUCCAAGAGAGCUCUUUGUUUCAGGGCAUGGAAGGACAUUUGCACCCCAAAAGUAGAAGGGGGUCUUGGAGUCAAGAACAUCCAAGCAGUUAACAGAGGCCUAAUCAUGUCGGCGGCUUGGAGAAUUACGGACGAACCACAAAGCUUCUUGUCACAGGUACUUAAAUCUAAAUAUUUCCUGAGACUUCUAUUUGGAGAGCAAAAAGCAACAUUGCAAAAUCAGGUUUUUGGGCUUCAAUUCUUAAGGUAA